GAUGAACGCUGGCGGCGUGCCUAAUACAUGCAAGUCGAGCGAACGGACGAGAAGCUUGCUUUUCUGAUGUUAGCGGCGGACGGGUGAGUAACACGUGGAUAACCUACCUAUAAGACUGGGAUAACUUCGGGAAACCGGAGCUAAUACCGGAUAAUAUUUUGAACCGCAUGGUUCAAAAGUGAAAGACGGUCUUGCUGUCACUUAUAGAUGGAUCCGCGCUGCAUUAGCUAGUUGGUAAGGUAACGGCUUACCAAGGCAACGAUGCAUAGCCGACCUGAGAGGGUGAUCGGCCACACUGGAACUGAGACACGGUCCAGACUCCUACGAGAGGCAGCAGUAGGGAAUCUUCCGCAAUGGGCGAAAGCCUGACGGAGCAACGCCGCGUGAGUGAUGAAGGUCUUCGGAUCGUAAAACUCUGUUAUUAGGGAAGAACAUAUGUGUAAGUAACUGUGCACAUCUUGACGGUACCUAAUCAGAAAGCCACGGCUAACUACGUG
Molecule: ribosomal RNA, 497 nt
Filed under: uncultured bacterium
Lineage: Bacteria
Description: partial 16S ribosomal RNA
Rfam family: Bacterial small subunit ribosomal RNA
Source: RNAcentral